CCUGCCCCUUAAGGUGUUGUGGUUGUGACUACUGUGUCACUUGUGUGUCCAUAGGUAGCAGAGAGGAGAAGGCUAUGUCUAUAUCCAUUGUUCUGACCUAACAUACAUCUGAACCAUUAUUACCCUUACAUU
Molecule: small nucleolar RNA, 132 nt
Organism: Rattus norvegicus (Norway rat)
Lineage: Eukaryota; Metazoa; Chordata; Mammalia; Rodentia; Muridae
Product: small nucleolar RNA SNORA17
Source: Ensembl